AGUGGCGAACGGGUGAGUAACACGUGAGUAACCUGCCCUUGACUCUGGGAUAACUGCUAGAAAUGGUAGCUAAUACCGGAUACGACCCUCGGCGGCAUCGCCAGGGGGUGGAAAGAAUUUCGGUCAAGGAUGGACUCGCGGCCUAUCAGCUAGUUGGUGAGGUAACGGCUCACCAAGGCGACGACGGGUAGCCGGCCUGAGAGGGUGACCGGCCACACUGGGACUGAGACACGGCCCAGACUCCUACGGGAGGCAGCAGUGGGGGAUACUGCACAAUGGGCGCAAGCCUGAUGCAGCAACGCCGCGUGAGGGAUGACGGCCUUCGGGUUGUAAACCUCUUUUAGUAGGGAAGAAGCGAAAGUGACGGUACCUGCAGAAAAAGCACCGGCUAACUACGUGCCAGCAGCCGCGGUAAUACGUAGGGUGCAAGCGUUGUCCGGAAUUAUUGGGCGUAAAGAGCUCGUAGGCGGUUUGUCGCGUCUGCUGUGAAAUCCCGAGGCUCAACCUCGGGCCUGCAGUGGGUACGGGCAAACUAGAGUGUGGUAGGGGAGAUUGGAACUCCUGGUGUAGCGGUGGAAUGCGCAGAUAUCAGGAAGAACACCGAUGGCGAAGGCAGAUCUCUGGGCCAUUACUGACGCUGAGGAGCGAAAGCGUGGGGAGCGAACAGGAUUAGAUACCCUGGUAGUCCACGCCGUAAACG
RNAcentral lists this ribosomal RNA (700 nucleotides) under uncultured Actinomycetes bacterium. RNAcentral's name for it is "bacterial SSU rRNA". It matches the Rfam family "Bacterial small subunit ribosomal RNA", at positions 94 to 808 of the family's 1533-position model. The record is from RNAcentral. Lineage: Bacteria; Bacillati; Actinomycetota; Actinomycetes.